Mus musculus (house mouse) is the source of this 1764-nucleotide long non-coding RNA. RefSeq annotates it as predicted gene, 33767. The record is from RefSeq and is a predicted model, not a curated record. The transcript has 3 exons. NCBI's taxonomy places the organism in Eukaryota, Metazoa, Chordata, Mammalia, Rodentia, Muridae.
UGCCUAGGGAGUGGAGCAGAGGCCAUGGGGUGGGGGAAGUUCCAGCAUCCUCCCAGAGUUACUGUCUCAUCUGUAUGCCCAAAUUAGCCCUUCCUGCCCUUGUAUGGCGAUUCACAGGCAGGAUCUGGUGGUGGCGCCUGCUGUUGGUCUGGGUGCAGUUUCCCCACAAGUUAAUCAGGCUUCAGAGAAAAACCAAUGGCAGUAAAAAACAACCUUCAAAGGCAGAUACUGCGUCCCUAUCUACAAACGCCUGGUCAUCUCCACUGCCAUGUCACUCUGGAGAGCUGAAGACCAGAGGCUUAAAAUAAAAUAUCUUCUCCCUGAACCAGCUUCCCUCCCCAGCCACUUCCUCCUGUCACGCCAAGGCCAUUGUCUUUGCUCCAACCUUUGGCUGCUGCCUCCCUCAAUUCCCUGAGUCCUCUGAGUCUCAGUGUCACUGGAGUCCUUACUUAGCCACUGUUGCUCUUUUCUCAGGACUGUCAUUGCCUCCCUGCACGAAGCGCUCACCCCCUCAGCCUUGAUGUCCACCUCAGCAUGGAUUCUGCAGCCCCGAUUUCUCAGCUCUUGACUCUUGCAAUCCUGCCUUUCAGGAUCGAUCCUCUACUCAACAAUGGUUGUCUAGAUUGGUUCCUGGUUGGGCCUUCAAAUCUGGAAGCAUGCUAGCCCAUGAGUCACACACAGCUUUGUUCUCCUGCAUCCCUUUGUUGUUAGCUCUUGGUCCCUGAAGGCUGCCUGCUGACCAGUGCCACCAUACCCACAUGGGUGCCCUCUUGUGUAUGGUGCCCUCUCCCUGGUGUGUCUGCCUUUGUCUUCAGCUACUGCAGGAUCCCCUUCUCCAGAAACUCCCCCCAACAAUGGUUCUCUCUGAAGCAAGAUCAAAGUUGCUAUCUGCACUUCCCAUUCUAGCUCGUGACACAACCCAACUGGUGGUAUAUAUCAUUGUUGCACAGUGACCUUGAGAGGGCAUUUGCAAGCAUAUGGCACCAGCAGAGUGUGCACUGUGCACAAUCACAACUUCCCCUUACAGCCUGGACUCUGGUGCAGAACAUGGGAGGCUUCAGCCAGGAGGUAACCAGGUCAUACUGAAGUAGAUGGGACCUCCUAUCCAAAAGAACUGGGAUCUUUGUCAGAAGAUGUACAUGUUGUUCAUCUCCCUCACCGCUGUGACAAGAAGCAACUUGAGGAGGAAUGGCUACGCUAGCCUCGAAGUUCAACGGGAUCCAAUCCUUUGUGAGGAGGAAGCAGAGUGUGAGCAGGAGGAGUGUCAGGGCUUUGAAAUCUCAAGGCCCGCCCCCAUAACUCACUUCCUCCGGCAAGGCUCCGCCUCCUAAGGUUCCAGAAACUUCCAGAACAGACAACACCUCCAGUGGGCAAUGGUUGGUCAAGCACACGAGCCGAUGAGGGACGUUCCACAUUCAAACAACCACAAAAUGGCCAUGUGAAGACAGACACCCAGAAAGGAAGCCAGAUGACUGUGAGGGCAGAGACCAGAGUGAUGCUGCAGCUAGCCAAGGGAGGUCAAAGGUCGUCAGGAAACUUCCAAUAGAAGGAAAGACAAGGAAGGGUUCAUUCUACAGGGUUCAGAGGGAGCCUGCCAACACCUUGAUUUCAGACUUCCGGCUUCUAGACCCAGACUGUUUCAGUCAGUCCUCUGAUAGCAUGGCUGUGGGAAUUGUGAACUACUCACAGAGACAUUCCAGGCAGUCAAUGAAAAUAUUUUAAAUUUCUUUUUUCUUCUUGUCAUUUUCAACAUUGUCAUUGUGA